CAGAUAAAGAGUUUCUGCACAAGACGAGAGAUGGAAACAUCUUUCUCCACAACGCUGAAACGCAAGAGGAAUCACUUUAUUUGAGCAACUCCACUUUUGCUCAGGUGGAUGCCUCAGAUUACUUGCUGUCUGGUGAUUAUAAAUACAUUGCUUUCGAAAGCAACUACACAGAGAACUGGAGACAUUCGUUCACAGCGUCAUAUUCCAUCUACGACAGAGAAACUUCGACGUUUGUCACAGGAGUGAAUCUUCCUACUGUUGUGCAGUACUUUUCCUGGGCUCCAAAAGGAAACAAAUUUGUGAGUAAAUGCCAUAACCACACUGAGAGAGUCAGGUAAUCUACCUGCAUCGUGGAUUUUACUGUAUUCCUCAGUAUGACCAUGAAUGUUCCCUGAGGUAUUCCUCCUAUAUAUAUUGUAACAAAUUUGU
This is a long non-coding RNA of Cynoglossus semilaevis (tongue sole), 429 nucleotides long. RefSeq lists it as uncharacterized. Lineage: Eukaryota; Metazoa; Chordata; Actinopteri; Pleuronectiformes; Cynoglossidae. The record is from RefSeq and is a predicted model, not a curated record. The transcript has 4 exons.